AGAGUUUGAUCAUGGCUCAGAAUCAACGCUGGCGGCGCGCCUAACACAUGCAAGUCGAACGAGAAAGCCGCAAGGCAAGUAAAGUGGCGUACGGGUGAGUAACACGUGGAUCAUCUGCCUUUUAGUGGGGAAUACCGUUGGGAAACCGACGACAAUACCGCAUAAUCCCGAGAGGGGAAAGCAGCAAUGCGCUGAAAGAGGAGUCCGCGGUCGAUUAGUUAGUUGGCGGGGUAAAAGCCCACCAAGACUGUGAUCGAUAGCCGGCCUGAGAGGGCACACGGCCACACUGGCACUGAAACACGGGCCAGACUCCUACGGGAGGCAGCAGUGGGGAAUCUUGCACAAUGGGGGAAACCCUGAUGCAGCGACGCCGCGUGAGCGAUGAAGCCCUUCGGGGUGUAAAGCUCUUUCGGCAGGGAAGAUAAUGACGGUACCUGCAGAAGCAGCUGCGGCUAACUACGUGCCAGCAGCCGCGGUAAUACGUAGGCAGCAAGCGUUGUUCGGAGUUACUGGGCGUAAAGGGUGCGUAGGCGGCUAUUUAAGUUUGGUGUGAAAUCUCCCGGCUCAACCGGGAGGGUGCGCCGAAUACUGAGUGGCUAGAGUGCGGGAGAGGAAAGUGGAAUUCCUGGUGUAGCGGUGAAAUGCGUAGAUAUCAGGAGGAACACCGGUGGUGUAAACGGCUUUCUGGACCGUAACUGACGCUGAGGCACGAAAGCGUGGGUAGCAAACAGGAUUAGAUACCCUAGUAGUCC
This 752-nucleotide ribosomal RNA is filed under the name uncultured bacterium. RNAcentral describes it as "bacterial SSU rRNA". It matches the Rfam family "Bacterial small subunit ribosomal RNA", at positions 8 to 796 of the family's 1533-position model. The record is from RNAcentral.